GGACUGAUUACGCUGAACAGACCAGCUGGGCAAACGUCACCUUCCUCUCUCAUGGUUCCACAUGUGUCCUUCUUCAAGCUGUGCACUCCAUCGAAGAGGACAACUUUCCCUAAUAGAGGAAGACUACUUUUUCAGUCAAGAGUUUAAAGUAGCUGUGCUUCCUUGCUAGAUCCUCCAAACAAACUCACGAGAUACCUCAGGGGGCGACUACUCCCAGUUUUCACCUUGUACAACAUG
Molecule: small RNA, 237 nt
Filed under: Nannospalax galili (Upper Galilee mountains blind mole rat)
Lineage: Eukaryota; Metazoa; Chordata; Mammalia; Rodentia; Spalacidae
Description: 7SK RNA (ENSNGAG00000004563.1)
Rfam family: 7SK RNA
About the family: 7SK was discovered as an abundant small nuclear RNA in the mid-70s but a possible function has only recently been suggested. Two independent studies have found that 7SK RNA binds the CDK9/cyclin T complex (known as elongation factor P-TEFb).
Source: RNAcentral